GUGCUUUGGGUCAUUGUCAUGUUGGAACACCCAGCCACGACCCAUCUUCAGUGCUCUGACUGAGGGAAGGAGGUUUUUGGCCAAGAUCUCGCGAUACAUGGCUCCGUUAUCCUCCCCUCAGUGUGGUGCAGUCGUCCGGUCCCCUGUGCAGAAAAGCAUCCCCAAAGCAUAUGUUUCCACCUCCGUGCUUCACAGUAGGGAUGGUGUUACUGGGGUUGUACUCAUCCUUCUUCUUCCUCCAAACACGGCAUGUGAAGUUCAGACCAUAAGGUUUUUUUUUUUUUGUUGA
This is a long non-coding RNA of Thalassophryne amazonica, 289 nucleotides long. RefSeq lists it as uncharacterized. NCBI's taxonomy places the organism in Eukaryota, Metazoa, Chordata, Actinopteri, Batrachoidiformes, Batrachoididae. The transcript has 5 exons. The record is from RefSeq and is a predicted model, not a curated record.